UACGUAGGGUCCGAGCGUUGUCCGGAAUUAAUGGGCGUAAAGAGCUCGUAGGUGGUUUGUCGCGUUGUUCGUGAAAACUCACAGCUCAACUGUGGGCGUGCGGGCGAUACGGGCAGACUGGAGUACUGCAGGGGAGACUGGAAUUCCUGGUGUAGCGGUGGAAUGCGUAGAGAUCGGCAGGAACACCCAGGGGGAAACCAGUGGACUGGCACGGUGCUGACGCUCAGGUGCGAAAGCGUGGGGAGCGAACCGG
Molecule: ribosomal RNA, 253 nt
Filed under: uncultured bacterium
Lineage: Bacteria
Description: partial 16S ribosomal RNA
Rfam family: Bacterial small subunit ribosomal RNA
Source: RNAcentral